Molecule: long non-coding RNA, 8308 nt
Filed under: Olea europaea subsp. europaea
Lineage: Eukaryota; Viridiplantae; Streptophyta; Magnoliopsida; Lamiales; Oleaceae
Source: RNAcentral
CUGGUUUCUCCCAAAUCGUAGAACGCUGCCUGUUGGAAGAUUGCAAAAGCCCUUUUCCAAUUUCUUCGAUUUUUCCUUCACCACAAUCGCCCCUGCCCUGCGCAGCUGCACUGGCCACACAGUACACACGAAAAAUGACAGUGUCGCCUGUCGGUUCGCCCUACUCAGAUAUGGUUUAUUUUUAUAUUCUUGUAUUGUUUAUCUUUGUGACUUUGUGUGUUUGUUUAAUGGGUUAAUUUUGUUUGGUGCUUAAUAGCUUAAGUAAUGUAAAAUAAUGUAAAAGUUCUCUCUAAAAUUUGGAUUUAAGGGUUUUUUUUUUACCCCAAUUCACAACACGUGUAAGUGUAAUUAUAACUUAUAAGUUCACCAAAUUGUUUUCACUUUUCAGUGUCUAUUGACUAUUAUGAUAUAUUUAUUAUGUAUUUAAUUAGAAAUGGAUUUUCUGCCUAAAUUUGUAUUAUGUAUAGUGGUUCACUGGUUCGGAUUAGUUUUGGUCUAACACUUCCUCUUCUGACUUGUUCUACCCAGAUUUGUCCACUGUAAUAAACGAGAAAAGACGUCUGUACCCGCACACGAGAGUGACGAGACACUUCAUCCCUUCGCCCAUUUGCCAAUUCACGGCAUGUAUGUAUAAUUGUAUGUGUUAAGUGCUAACUGCUAAGUUGGCAAAUUUAUAUGUGCUAACUACUCAAUACCAUGUUUAAAAUUAAGGGUAUCAAUUUGGCGUGAAAUUGGCUUCUCCCCAUAGAUAUUGAUAGAGCGUCUAAAUUUGGAGCAGAAUUGCAGAAUUCUUUGUCCACUUGGUGAGCAAGUUCUCUGGUUGGAGCUAAUAUUAAUGCCAAAGGAUUCCUUCCUCAGGUCAGUGACUUAAGUUAAUGUUAAAUAUGUUAUGAUUUAUUCAUUUGGGAAUUAAAAAAUUGCGAAUUGUGAUUUAUGAAUUAUGAUAAGUAAUUUACGUUUUAUGAGUUAUGAUUAUUGAUUCGAGAAUUUAUGUUUACGAAAUUAUAUUUGCAAAUUGUGAUUUAUGAUUAGUAAUUUAUGUUUUGAUGAGGGAUGAUUAAUGAUUUGGGAAUUUAUGUUUACGAAAUUAUGUUUGCGAAUUGUGAUUCUAAUAAGUAAUUUAUGUUUUGUAAUUGAAAAAUAAAUUGGGACAUUUUGCAGAUAAUGGAACGAUUUUUUCAACCAAAACGAAAGUCUAUACCCAAUUCUUCUACUUCUAGUUGUGCACCUAGUCCCGCCACUGAUUCUAGUUGAGCAUAAGAGUUAUUGAAUAACACAAAGAAGUCUUGGGUUCAAUUCAAUGUAGAUGAUCUUGUGUCGAGUCAUAUGAUCUCAUCAAAGAUUAUGUUAGGAUGGCAUACUUGGAUAAAGGUCAUUGUCAAUCAUAAGGACAUGAUUUUCUAAGAAGAUCGGUGGGGAAUGAUAAUAGAUGUUUUCGGAAAGAAUGGUUCUCCAAAUUUUAUAGGUUGGAAUACAGUAUAGAAAAUGAUGCGGCGUAUUGUUUGCAUUGCUACUUGUUCAAACUCCAUAGAGGAGGGGUCAAGGGGGUGGACAUAUAUUUACUAAGACCGGCUUUAGGGAUUGGAAGCAGAAAAAGACAUUGAAUGAUCAUGUCGAUCUUUUUGAUAGUGCUCAUAAUUAAGCUUUUGCAAAGUGUACUAACUUGAUGAAUCAAAAGCAAAGUAUCUCCUACGUUAUUUUUAGCCAAAGUUGUAGUCAACAACAAAGUUAUAGGACUAAGUUGACUGUGGUGCUAGAUUGUACUAGACUUCUCUUGAUGCAAAGAUUGUCAUUUCGUGGUCAUGAUGAAUCCACAUGCUAUGUAUGUUCAUUGCUUUGCUCACCAGCUUCAGUUGACAAUUGUAUCUGUAGCACGUAGGAAUUGUAUGCUCGGUGAUUUUUUUGACAUACUUGCUAUUAUUGUGAAUUUGGUUGGUGCAUCAUGUAAGCAUAUAGAUGCUCUUCAAAUAAGUUAUCAAGCUAAUAUUCUGGAGAAGCUUAAUAUUGGGGAACUUACUUGUGGAAGUGGUUAGUUUCAAGAUAUGAGUUUGGCACGCCCAGGUGAUACUAGGUGGGGCUCACAUCUAUUGACAAUUACUCAUUUCAUUAAUAUGCUUAAUGCUAUCAUAGAUGUUCUUGAAAAUAUAUCGGAAGAUGACGUACAUUUAGAUCAAAAAUCUUUAGCCGUAAGACAGAUGAAAAGCUAUGCAAGAUUUUGAGUUUGUGUUCAAUCUCUACUUUAUGUUUGAAAUUCUAGCAAUUACAGACGACAUUUCACAAGCCUUACAGAAAAAGGAUCAGGAUAUUCAGAAUGCUAUGAGGUUAUUGAAUUUGUGUAAGUGUGCAUUACAGAACUUGAGAGAGAAUGGUUGGGAUACUUUGUUGAGUAGGGUGAUUGAGUUUUGUGUUGAUAGACAUGUUUUAGUGUUCAAUAUGGAGGAUAUUGUACUAGUGAAAGGUCGACCUAGGCGUGUAGCUCAGCAGGUGACUUAUUUUCAUCGUUUUUAUGUUGAUUUGUAUUGUCAUAGGAUAGACUCAAUCUUGCAAGAGUUGAAUGAUCAUUUUCCAGAAACAACUACUGAGCUCUUUACUUGCAUUUCAUGUUUAAGUCCAAGAGAUUCAUUUGCAGCUUUCGAUAAGGAUAAAUUGCUACGUCUUGCUCAGUCCUAUCCGUUGGACUUCAAUAGUGAAGAGUUUUUAUUACUUAGAACUCAGCUUGAUAAGUUUCUUUUGCUUGUGAAAAAAGACGAAACUUUAUUUAAUCUCAAUAGCAUAUCUUGUGUAGCUCAGAAGUUGGUUGAAACUAGAAGUUCCUGUUAUUUUUCAUUGGUUUAUAGGCUUCUCACCUUGGCUUUGAUAUUACCUGUGGCAACUGCAAGUGUUGAAAGGGUAUCUUCUUCUAUGAAUCUAAUCAAGAAUGAUUUGCCCAACAAAAUGGGAGAUGGCUGGUUGAAUGACAAUUUGGUGGUUUAAGUAGAGAAAGCUAUUUUUAAAAAACUACAGAAGGAGACAAUAUUGCAACAUUUUCAAGUCAUGAGACCCCAUAGAAUGCAAUUGUCUAUAUUUACAAUUACAGAGUGACUGAGUAAGGUUGUAUCGUAUAUUUUUUUACUAUUUCGGGUUGUAUUGAAGUAUAAUUUUAUAUGUAUACGAUUUUGACGUUUUAGUUCAUUAUAUAUAUAUAUAUUGAAUAACUUUUAAUAUUAUGUAACCAAAUUAUAUUAAACGAUCGGACUAUUAUAUGGUCGAUGGUCGAUGGUCAACAGUCAACCCACCCUAGCUGGACUUCCAUUUUAAAUUCGUUGUUGUUUACAAGUCUAACAUUUAAUCUUAAAUUCUUUACCAACUUUAAUUGUAUGUAUACUUAAAUCAAAUAACAAUUUAAAUGCUCACACCAAGGAAAAAACUAGGAAAUAUUAAGGAAAGAUAAACUAGCAUCUUUUAAAAUCUAAAUAUAAGUUGCAUAAUUAUUUAGAACUAGAAACUCUUCAAAUGUGACAAAAACAUAAAUUAAGCACCUCUCUUUUGGAUACUUCACAAUCCACGUAAAUACCACUUUCUUGACCAUCCUUUAAUUUGAAAGAUUUGUUAACAUAGAAGGUGUGAGCUUUAAAAUUUAGUAGGACUAAUAUCACAUUGUGCACCCUUUUGGUCAUAAACAUAUAUACAUAUAAAAAAAAGUUAUGGGAAAGAAUUUAACAUUUCACUUAGAUGAAUACCGACAAAUUCAUGAUUUCGAAGAAUCCAUUGGGGUCGUAGAAACCGGUUAUGGCCAUACAUAAACUUCUCUAUUCAUUAUAUAUAUAUAUAUAUAUAUAUAUAUAUAUAUAUAAUGGACGCUGUUCAUUUCGAUUUUUUCGUAUAAAAAGGAAAUAUUGAAUGAAUUGAUCAUAAAUUAUGAGAUUUUUUUUUUUUGAAACUCAAAAAAUGUGCACAUAUCUUGCUAUUUUGUAUUUUAUUUAUUAGUAUAUCCUUAUUUGGUAUCUAUAUCCAUCUUUUACAGUAUUGUCGUUUAAUUUUUUAUAGUUUAUAACCAUUCUUGUUUUUCCUCUAGACGGUCUUAUUACUUUUAAAUCUAAUAAUUAUUUAAUCUGUAUGUUAAAAUCUUCUAUAUCUUGAUUCAUAUGUUUUAGUUCUGCCGUUCUAAUUUUUAUAUUUUUGACUUCGUAAUUAAAGUAAAUUCUUUUCAUAUCUUAUCUUGUUUAUAAUUUUCGUUUACUUUAGUUAUUUUUCGGGUAAGGCCUAAAAGGGGAAACACCAAGUAAGCAAUUAAUUUAUUAACAAAUAAUAUUUUACCAAAUAGAUAUAGUGAUAAAAAGAAGAAAAAAAUUGUAAAUAUACUAGCGGAAAAUACAAGAUAUGGCUCCUUCAUAAAUUAAAAUACGAUGAUAAGUUAGAAUUACAAUGUCAUUAUUUACACGAGGGGGUAUGGAAAUGAAUUGAACUAUUAAGGGAUGGGAUGAUGAUGAAGCUUGAGAGGGGGUUUGCAUGGUCUGUCUAAUUCUUUCGGUACAAAUUCGGGAGCAAGACUUCAAAGAAAAUUUUGAAAAUGACAAGUCAGAAAAUUUUCUACGUAAAUACCAAUUAGAGUGACUAGAAACUAAUAAAAUAUUCGGGUGACAAUUACUAAGGGUGGCUAACAAGACAUCUUCUAAGAUAGAUAGUAUAGACAAAAUUUUAGAAUUAGCUAAAAAGAUUCAAAUAAUAGGAGAAAACCCUAUAAAACAUUGGGAUAAAAAUAAAAUAGAAGCUAAUUGGUAUUUACAUAGAAAAUUUUCUUACUUGUCAUUUUCAAAAUUUUUAUUUUUGAAGUCUUGCUCUAACUAGUUCUACUGAAAUUUAUUUUUCAGAGAAAAAAAGAGUAAGUUCGGAUUUGAUGAGAGAUAUAAUGAAAAAGUGAUUUUCUCUUCUUGUAACCUCCUUUUUAGUAAAAAAACUAAAUGUGAGAGUUAUAUUAUUAUUAAUCUUGUUAAAUUAAGUCUUUGACUAGGAAUUUAAAGAGUUUUAGCCCAUUAAAAAAAAUUCUUAUGAAAAGAUUUAUAAAACAUUUACAUAAUGAAAAAUAGAUGAAAAUGAACUAUUCAUGUAUUUGUAACUUAUUUCUAUGAAUGCCUACUAAUAGAACAAUUAUUCGAUAUAAUUAACUUGAUAUAUAAUUAUUCUUAAUGUGUAAAAUAAGGAUUUUUUAAUUGAAAAAUAAUUUUAUAAAAAUAUUUUAUAAAAACAUUUGCAUGGUGAUUUGAACCUAAGUUGUCUUGUGAUAUACCAUGCAGAUGAUCAUUAUGACAACCAAGUUAUUCAUUAAAUCUUUAUAAUCAAAUAUACUUAUAAUUAAUGAUUUAAAUUGUUAGGUUUUUAAAUAACUUAUAACUUGACCUUUCAUAACCUUAAAUGGAAUGAACUUUCAUAACUCCUUUCUUAAAUGAGCUAAUAGAAAAUUAUGUACCUUACACAUCUACAUCCAGUGAAUGGAGAUAAAAACUAACCUCAAAGGGAAAAAUCCCAAAUUGAGGGGGGGGGGGGGGGGGGGUCCCAGAAAUGAUUUGGGAACAAAUUCAUCUGGUUGAUUGGUGUAGCAACUAAAAUUUCUUGUUGAAUUCUAAGUUGCUAAUUUUUAUUUUAUUUAUUUAUUUAUUUUUUAGAUCGAUUUCUCCCUUCGCAAAUUUCUUCAAUUACCAUUCAAGAAUCCAAAAAUCAUCUAUCAAAAUAUUCCAACUACAAGUUUCAAUUUUUCUCUUUAGAAUUUUAGUCAGUGCAUUGUGCAGGACAAAAUGUUGAUCCCUCCAUGGCCUGAACAACAGUUGACCAUCGCUUUCUUCACCGUUUGUCGUACUCAUAGCACGGCCAAAAUUCUGUGUUGGUGGAAACGGAAGAUUCGGUACCAAACCAAUGUUGGAAAAAAUGAAUUGAGUGGCUAACUUUGACACAAAAUUUGAGUGAGACCCGAUUGGUUAUUUUGGAAGUUCAAUUGGAAGUUCAAAAUUGAUUUGCAUUCUCCUCCGUAAGAACAUCGAAAUCAUGUGUUUACUUACCAAAAAUGAUGUUUGGGUGAAUGAGAAAUUGGAACUCAAAGUUUGCCAAUUUAAAGGAGUUUAUGUUGUUGGAAGGAAACUAUUUAAUAUUGUCCAACAUAGGAAAUUAUGGAAACAAAUAACACCUUAUAUAAGAUUGCACUUUGAAAUGGUGUGAUCAUAUGUAGUAUAGAGGCUCUCUUUACGUUUGCGGUCAAGGGGGCAAAUCGAACCGAAAUAAGCUUUGGAUGUGAAAAUUGACCUCUUAGAAGAGCCUACGUUUUGCUAAUUUUUUUCCUCCAACUGACCGUUUGAAUUUCUAAACUGCCGAAACUCCAAUAUUCAUUGUCAUUAUAUACGAGUUAAUGGUAUUCAUGAUGUUGAGCUUAUAUAAGCAACUCGAUUUCUAACAAUUCUACAUAAGAAGAAAUAUAAGGGAAACAACUAUACAACAUACAGUUUCUGUACAUAUUCACAUAACACAAUUUCUCAUAUUUUGGUCUACAUACUCCAUAAUCAUACAACUAGUGAUAUCGUUCAGACAAAUUCAGUUCGAUAGAGUAGUAUUUGAUGUGCUCAAAUUCUAUUGUUCUCCAUUGUUCACGAGAGACAGACAUUCGUUUUGAUCCUCAAGCACCUACAGUGAGAGGACAAAUCUGUUGUAAGGAAAUUGUGUUCACACAGGCCUCGGUUAAAAUAUUUUUUGAUUUUAGCUAAUUAGUUUAUUUGUUCUGUUUAUUUGGUCAACUAGAAUAAUUUGUUCAGGUUAAUUUUUUUUUUGUUUAUUUCAAUUUAAUCUAUUAUAUUUUGGGUAGAAUUCAAGUUCAAUGCAUAUAUGGUAAAUUGUUGCAUAUACGAUAAGCUGUUACAAAUAUGGUAAGUUGCAUAUACAGUAUGCGUAAAUACAGUAUACUGCAUAUAUGAUGUGUGUAAAUUCGAUAUCUAAAUUGCAUAUACGCUAUGUGUUAAUCCGGUAUUCAUUCCCAACCUUUUAGUCCAACAAACUCAAAACAUAUUAAAGAAAAAAAUUGGUUUUUUAUAUUAUUGAUUUAGAAACUAAUUUUCCGUUUGUCUUUCAGAAAUGGCAACCUAUCCAAUCAACAUGGAUCUGUCCCAAACUGUUGCUACUGAAAAUCAGCUUGUGGGCUCUGCUGUGGCUCAAAGGUCAAGUUAGACUAUGGCUCAAACUGUGGCUAAAUUGUCAAGUCAUGCUGUGAGUCAAACUGUGGCUCCAACAACUGGUCAUACUGUUACUAUUCCGAUUAAUCAUAAAGAAAAGUCAGAGAAAUUGAAUGGCUUGAAUUUCAAGAGGUGGCAGCAGAAAAUACUAUUUUACUUGACCACCUGAAUUUUGCGAGAUUCUUAAUAGAAACUACUCCAAAACUCAAUGAGGGUGAGGGAGAUAUUCAAGCGAUCAGUGUGGUUGAUGCUUGGAAACAUACUGAUUUUUUAUGCCGAAACUAUAUCAUGAACAACUUUGUAGACUGUCUAUCCAACAUGUAUAGUACUUUGAAAAUUAGUAAGGAGCUACGGGAGUCAUUGGAUCGAAAAUAUAAGACUGAGGAUGCCGAGACCGAGAAAUUCAUUGUUGGCCGAUUCUUGGAUUAUAAGAUGGACUCUAAAACAGUAAUCAAUUAAGUACAAGAACUCUAUGUGAUUCUUCAUGAGAUUCAUGCCAAAGGGAUGAUUUUGAGUGAAACCUUCCUAGGGCUGCAACUAUUGAAAAAUUAUACCCCACGUAGAAAGAUUUCAAGAAUUACCUGAAACACAAACGAAAAGAAAUGAACGUCAAAGAAUUGAUUAUUAGAUUUCAAAUUGAAGAAGACAAAAGAAGUUCAAAAAAGGAGGAGUUCAAUCCUAAUGUGGCUAAAGCCAAUGUUGAGUAUGAUCAAAGUUUUAAGACUUCAAAAAAUAAGUUUAGGACAUCUGGUGGCAAUGGUACUAAGCCGAGCCGAAAGGAGGCAUUUCAAAGAAGAAAUUUCAAGGAAAAAUACUUCAAAGUAGGUCACAAGUCUUAGGAGUACAGAUUGCCAAAGAAGAAUAAUAAAGAAGCAAAUGUGGUCAACUACAUGGUACAUGAUGUAUCGAAAAUAAAUCACACAACAGUCAUUUCUAAAGUGAACAUGGUGGGUUCUAACCAAAAACAAUAGUAGAUUGACACCAAUGCUACACAACAUGUGUGAUCUGAUAAAGAGUUGUUUGUUGUGUUCGAAGCAAUUGAAAAUAGAGAGAAGUUGUUCAUGGAAAAUUCAACAACUUUUGAAAUCAAGGAUCAAGGAAAGGUGGUUUUGAAGAUG